This 468-nucleotide ribosomal RNA is filed under the name uncultured bacterium. RNAcentral's name for it is "partial 16S ribosomal RNA". It matches the Rfam family "Bacterial small subunit ribosomal RNA", at positions 28 to 507 of the family's 1533-position model. The record is from RNAcentral.
GACGAACGCUGGCGGCGUGCCUAACACAUGCAAGUCGAACGGAAAGGCCCUGCUUUUGUGGGGUGCUCGAGUGGCGAACGGGUGAGUAAAACGUGAGUAACCUGCACUUGUCUUUGGGAUAACUUCAGGAAACUGGGGCUAAUACCGGAUAGGAGCUCCUGCUGCAUGGGGGGGGUUGGAAAGUUUCGGCGGUGGGGGAUGGACUCGCGGCUUAUCCGCUGGUUGGUGGGGUAGUGGCUUACCACGGCUUUGACGGGUAGCCGGCCUGAGAGGGGGACCGGCCUCAUUGCGCCUGCGGGACGGCCCAGACUCCUACGGUCGGCAGCGGUGGGGAACAUUGCACAAUGGGCCGAAGCCUGAUGCAGCAACGCCGCGUUCGUGAUGACGUCCUUCGGGUUGUAAACCGCUUUCGCCUUUGACGAAGCGUGCGUGACGGUAAUGGGUAAAGAAGCACCGGCUAACUACGUG